GGCUUCAAUUGCAAGAACUAUGGA
Molecule: non-coding RNA, 24 nt
Filed under: Arabidopsis thaliana (thale cress)
Lineage: Eukaryota; Viridiplantae; Streptophyta; Magnoliopsida; Brassicales; Brassicaceae
Source: RNAcentral